UACGUAGGCAGCGAGCGUUGUUCGGAGUUACUGGGCGUAAAGCGUGCGUAGGCGGUGUCUUAAGUUUGUUGUGAAAUCUCCCGGCUUAACCGGGAGGGUGCGGCAAAUACUGAGAUGCUGGAGUGCCGGAGAGGUAAGCGGAAUUCCUGGUGUAGCGGUGAAAUGCGUAGAUAUCAGGAGGAACACCUGCGGUGUAGACGGCUUACUGGACGGUAACUGACGCUGAGGCACGAAAGCGUGGGUAGCAAACAGG
RNAcentral lists this ribosomal RNA (253 nucleotides) under uncultured bacterium. Its description in RNAcentral is "partial 16S ribosomal RNA". It matches the Rfam family "Bacterial small subunit ribosomal RNA", at positions 524 to 776 of the family's 1533-position model. The record is from RNAcentral.